GAGGGGUGCGAGCGUUAAUUCGGAAUUUACUGGGCGUAAAAGCGCAUGCAGGUGGUUUGUUAAGUCAGAUGUGAAAAGCCCGGGGCUCAACCUCGGAAUUGCAUUUGAAACUGGGCAGACUAGAGUACUGUAGAGGGGGGUAGAAUUUCAGGUGUAGCGGUGAAAUGCGUAGAGAUCUGAAGGAAUACCGGUGGCGAAGGCGGCCCCCUGGACAGAUACUGACACUCAGAUGCGAAAGCGUGGGGAGCAAACAGGAUUAGAUACCCUGGUAGUCCACGCCGUAAACGAUGUCUACUUGGAGGUUGUGGCCUUGAGCCGUGGCUUUCGGAGCUAACGCGUUAAGUAGACCGCCUGGGGAGUACGGUCGCAAGAUUAAAACUCAAAUGAAUUGACGGGGGCCCGCACAAGCGGUGGAGCAUGUGGUUUAAUUCGAUGCAACGCGAAGAACCUUACCUACUCUUGACAUCCUCAGAAGAGACUGGAGACAGUCUUGUGCCUUCGGGAACUGAGAGACAGGUGCUGCAUGGCUGUCGUCAGCUCGUGUUGUGAAAUGUUGGGUUAAGUCCCGCAACGAGCGCAACCCUUAUCCUUGUUUGCCAGCGAGUAAUGUCGGGAACUCCAGGGAGACUGCCGGUGAUAAACCGGAGGAAGGUGGGGACGACGUCAAGUCAUCAUGGCCCUUACGAGUAGGGCUACACACGUGCUACAAUGGCGCAUACAGAGGGCAGCCAACUUGCGAAAGUGAGCGAAUCCCAAAAAGUGCGUCGUAGUCCGGAUUGGAGUCUGCAACUCGACUCCAUGAAGUCGGAAUCGCUAGUAAUCGUGGAUCAGAAUGCCACGGUGAAUACGUUCCCGGGCCUUGUACACCACCGCCCGUACAGCA
This 883-nucleotide ribosomal RNA is filed under the name Vibrio sp. 805B12. RNAcentral describes it as "bacterial SSU rRNA". It matches the Rfam family "Bacterial small subunit ribosomal RNA", at positions 527 to 1403 of the family's 1533-position model. Lineage: Bacteria; Pseudomonadati; Pseudomonadota; Gammaproteobacteria; Vibrionales; Vibrionaceae. The record is from RNAcentral.